UACAGAGGUCUCAAGCGUUGUUCGGAUUCAUUGGGCGUAAAGGGUGCGUAGGCGGCGCGGUAAGUCGGGUGUGAAAUCUCAGAGCUUAACUCCGAAACUGCAUUCGAUACUGCCGUGCUUGAGGACUGGAGAGGAGACUGGAAUUUACGGUGUAGCGGUGAAAUGCGUAGAUAUCGUAAGGAAAACCAGUGGCGAAGGCGGGUCUCUGGACAGUUCCUGACGCUGAGGCACGAAGGCCAGGGGAGCAAACGGG
This 253-nucleotide ribosomal RNA is filed under the name uncultured bacterium. RNAcentral's name for it is "partial 16S ribosomal RNA". It matches the Rfam family "Bacterial small subunit ribosomal RNA", at positions 524 to 776 of the family's 1533-position model. The record is from RNAcentral.